Molecule: ribosomal RNA, 261 nt
Filed under: uncultured archaeon
Lineage: Archaea
Description: partial 16S ribosomal RNA
Rfam family: Archaeal small subunit ribosomal RNA
Source: RNAcentral
UAGCCGUAAACGAUACUCGCUAGGUGUCGGCCACGGUGCGACCGUUGUCGGUGCCGUAGGGAAGCCGUGAAGCGAGCCACCUGGGGAGUACGGCCGCAAGGCUGAAACUUAAAGGAAUUGGCGGGGGAGCACAACAACGGGUGGAGCUUGCGGUUUAAUUGGAUUCAACGCCGGAAAUCUUACCGGGACCGACAGCAACAUGAAGGCCAAGCUGAAGACUUUGCCGGAUUAGCUGAGAGGUGGUGCAUGGCGUAGUCGUGU